GAAAUGCGAUAAGUAGUGUGAAUUGCAGAAUUUAGCGAAUCAUCGAAUCUUUGAACGCACAUUGCGCCCCUUGGUAUUCCAUGGGGCAUGCCUGUUUGAGUAUCAUGAAAUCUUCAAAGUAAAUCUUUUGUUAACUCAAUUGGUUUCUACUUUGGUAUUGGAGGUCUUUGCAGCUUCACACCUGCUCCUCUUUGUUCAUUAGCUGGAUCUCAGUGUUAUGCUUGGUUCCACUCGGCGUGAUAAGUUAUCUAUCGCUGAGGACACUGUAAAAGGUGGCCAAGGUAAAUGCAGAUGAACCGCUUCUAAUAGUCCAUUGACUUGGACAAUACUUUUAUGAUCUGAUCUCAAAUCAGGUAGGACUACCCGCUGAACUUAAGC
RNAcentral lists this unclassified non-coding RNA (378 nucleotides) under plant metagenome. RNAcentral's name for it is "partial contains 5.8S ribosomal RNA, internal transcribed spacer 2, and large subunit ribosomal RNA". The stretch from base 1 to 105 matches the Rfam family "5.8S ribosomal RNA", at positions 50 to 154 of the family's 154-position model. The record is from RNAcentral.